RNAcentral lists this ribosomal RNA (254 nucleotides) under uncultured bacterium. Its description in RNAcentral is "partial 16S ribosomal RNA". It matches the Rfam family "Bacterial small subunit ribosomal RNA", at positions 524 to 776 of the family's 1533-position model. The record is from RNAcentral.
CACGUAGGGGGCGAGCGUUGUCCGGAUUUAUUGGGCGUAAAGAGCUCGUAGGCGGUUUGGCAAGUCGGGUGUGAAAUUUCGAGGCUCAACCUCGAAACGCCACUCGAUACUGCCAUGACUGGAGUCCGGUAGAGGAGUGCGGAAUUCCUGGUGUAGCGGUGAAAUGCGUAGAUAUCUGGAGGAAUACCGGUGGCGAAGGCGGCAUCCUGGACCGAGAUUGACACUGAUGAGCGAAAGCCAGGGGAGCAAACGGG